UACGUAGGUGGCAAGCGUUGUCCGGAGUUAUUGGGCGUAAAGAGCUCGUAGGCGGUUUGUCGCGUCUGCUGUGAAAACUCGGGGCUUAACUCCGGGCCUGCAGUGGGUACGGGCAGACUAGAGUGCGGUAGGGGAGACUGGAAUUCCUGGUGUAGCGGUGAAAUGCGCAGAUAUCAGGAAGAACACCCGUGGCGAAGGCGGCUCUCUGGGACGGUACUGACGCUGAGACGCGAAAGCGUGGGGAGCAAACAGG
RNAcentral lists this ribosomal RNA (253 nucleotides) under uncultured bacterium. RNAcentral's name for it is "partial 16S ribosomal RNA". It matches the Rfam family "Bacterial small subunit ribosomal RNA", at positions 524 to 776 of the family's 1533-position model. The record is from RNAcentral.